AUGAUUGGUAUUCAAUUUGCUGCUUACGUUAGUGUUGCUACUGUUAUCCAUGCCCUCAUGCUUGCGUAUCUGUUUAUUAUUUUGUUCACUAUUCUUUUCCUAGUUGUUCUUUGUUGGAAGAUAUUGCUUUCAUUGACAGCCAUGAUAAUGAUAAUUUCCUCUCUUCUACAGGAGCUCUGGUUUGAAGAUGUUCCUGGGUGUUUACUUCAUAGAUGUUCCUGGGUGUUCCUGGGUGUUUGUUUACUUCAUAGAUGUUCCUGGAUGUUCCUGGCUGUUUGCACUUCUUGGGUGGGUGUUUGCGCUUCCUGA
This 309-nucleotide ribosomal RNA is filed under the name Triticum aestivum (bread wheat). Its description in RNAcentral is "partial small subunit ribosomal RNA". Lineage: Eukaryota; Viridiplantae; Streptophyta; Magnoliopsida; Poales; Poaceae. The record is from RNAcentral.